UACGGAGGAUCCGAGCGUUAUCCGGAUUUAUUGGGUUUAAGGGGUGCGCAGGCGGGAGAUUAAGUCGGCGGUGAAAUUUUGCAGCUCAACUGUAAAAGUGCCUUCGAAACUGGUUUCCUUGAGUGUGGAUGAAGUAGGCGGAAUUUGCGGUGUAGCGGUGAAAUGCAUAGAUAUCACGAGGAACUCCGAUUGCGCAGGCAGCUUACUAAACCAUAACUGACGCUCAGGCACGAAGGCGUGGGGAUCAAACAGGAUUAGAUACCCUGGUA
Molecule: ribosomal RNA, 269 nt
Filed under: uncultured prokaryote
Description: partial 16S ribosomal RNA
Rfam family: Bacterial small subunit ribosomal RNA
Source: RNAcentral